This 497-nucleotide ribosomal RNA is filed under the name uncultured bacterium. Its description in RNAcentral is "partial 16S ribosomal RNA". It matches the Rfam family "Bacterial small subunit ribosomal RNA", at positions 28 to 507 of the family's 1533-position model. The record is from RNAcentral.
GAUGAACGCUGGCGGCGUGCCUAAUACAUGCCAGUCGAGCGAACAGACGAGGAGCUUGCUCCUCUGACGUUAGCGGCGGACGGGUGAGUAACACGUGGAUAACCUACCUAUAAGACUGGGAUAACUUCGGGAAACCGGAGCUAAUACCGGAUAAUAUAUUGAACCGCAUGGUUCAAUAGUGAAAGACGGUUUUGCUGUCACUUAUAGAUGGAUCCGCGCCGCAUUAGCUAGUUGGUAAGGUAACGGCUUACCAAGGCAACGAUGCGUAGCCGAGCUGAGCGGGUGAUCGGCCACACUGGAACUGAGACACGGUCCAGACUCCUACGGGAGGCAGCAGUAGCGAAUCUUCGGCAAUGGGCGGAAGCAUGACGCAGCAACGCCGCGUGAGUGAUGAAGGUCUUCGGAUCGUAAAGCCCUGUUUUUGGGGAAGAACAAAUGUGGAAUUAACUGUGCACGUCUUGACGGUACCUAAUCAGAAAGCCACGGCUAACUACGUG